AUCUGAGGUGAAUGAGAAAAGCAAUUAAUAUUUAGAACUCACCAGAUACUUUCAGGAGCAGAAGUUAAUCUUUUAACUUGAUCUAAGUAUGCUGCUUUACAUCUCUCACGGGUACUGCAGCAGAAGCGUUACAGCAAAAGCAGCAAUAGCUAGGGAAAAGUUCUUAAUUCAUCGGUGAACUUAGGCAGCUUAAAGUGCAGCUGACAAAGCAAAUCAAGCAUAGAGACCGAUGCCCCAACAAACCAGCUCCAGUUCAACCUCCAGUCCUCCAGACUGGAGCCUUCAGCUUGACAGACAUCCUGGGAAGGGAGGGCCAUACACUACAAACACACAGUAUGUCGCUGCAAGAGGCAUCACCUGAGCUGCCUUUGAUACACUGAAAUGUAUAAUACCCGACUGAUCUAAUCUGCUGCUUCUCUUACCUGAUUUAAAAAUACAAGUUUCAAGUACAAUUAAACUAUUUCUAGCAGCAGCUAAAUGUGUUUUUUCCUUUUUUUUCUUU
Molecule: long non-coding RNA, 502 nt
Organism: Falco peregrinus (peregrine falcon)
Lineage: Eukaryota; Metazoa; Chordata; Aves; Falconiformes; Falconidae
Exons: 2
Source: RefSeq, a predicted model, not a curated record